This 394-nucleotide long non-coding RNA is filed under the name Sorghum bicolor (sorghum). RNAcentral's name for it is "long non-coding RNA (SBIC_LNC006040)". Lineage: Eukaryota; Viridiplantae; Streptophyta; Magnoliopsida; Poales; Poaceae. The record is from RNAcentral.
CCAAACUAUCCAAGCAAACACUAUAAAACCUAGAAAAUAUAGAAAUUGAUAUGUUGAGCUGAUUACAUGGAUGAUUUAGGUUUAAAGGAUAGCAAAUGAUGUUAUGCGUGGAGGAAGUGGACCAGAUAGAGGAAGAUUAGAGGAUAGGAAACAGAGAGCCGCUUGAGCUAGUAACAUUAAUGCUAGAAGAUGCUUGGACUGCAACCAUGUUUUUUUAGCCAACCGUUGCUCUAUAAAUUAUGUUUUAUGUUUUUUUAGCCAAACGGUUUCAACUUAUAUACUCUGUCCGAGAGAAGAGGGUGACUAGUUUUUUAUAGAGCAACUCCAAGGACCUUUAUGGGGUCUAAGGAACAGAGUUUGUAGAGCAUUUCCAAAUACAAUUGUAGAGAAUUUU